CCUACGGGUGGCAGCAGUAGGGAAUUUUCGUCAAUGGGCGCAAGCCUGAACGAGCAAUGCCGCGUGAACGAGGAAGGUCUUCGGAUCGUAAAGUUCUGUUGAAGGGGAAAAAGAGCGGAGAGAGGAAAUGCUUUCUGAUUGAUAUUACCCUUCGAGGAAGUCACGGCUAACUACGUGCCAGCAGCCGCGGUAAUACGUAGGUGGCGAGCGUUAUCCGGAAUGAUUGGGUUUAAAGGGUGCGUAGGCGGUUUUUUAAGUUAGUGGUUAAACGUCGGGGCUUCACCUUGAUUUGCCAUUAAUACUGUAAGACUCGAGUUCAGACGAGGUAGGCGGAAUAAGUUAAGUAGCGGUGAAAUGCUUAGAUAUAACUUAGAACUCCGAUAGCGAAGGCAGCUUACCAGACUGCGACUGACGCUGAAGCACGAGAGUGUGGGUAGCGAACAGGAUUAGAUACCCUAGUAGUC
This 464-nucleotide ribosomal RNA is filed under the name uncultured bacterium. Its description in RNAcentral is "partial 16S ribosomal RNA". It matches the Rfam family "Bacterial small subunit ribosomal RNA", at positions 338 to 795 of the family's 1533-position model. The record is from RNAcentral.